UCCGGUUUGUCACCGGCAGUCUCCCUAGAGUGCCCUUGCGUAGCAACUAGGGACAAGGGUUGCGCUCGUUGCGGGACUUAACCCAACAUCUCACGACACGAGCUGACGACAGCCAUGCAGCACCUGUGUACAGACCCGAAGGCUGCCGUGUUUCCACGACAUUCCUGUGCAUGUCAAGCCUAGGUAAGGUUCUUCGCGUUGCGUCGAAUUAAACCACAUGCUCCGCUGCUUGUGCGGGCCCCCGUCAAUUCCUUUGAGUUUCAGCCUUGCGGCCGUACUCCCCAGGCGGGACACUUACUGCGUUAGCGACGGCACCGAGGGGGUCGCUCCCCCCGACGCCUAGUGUCCAUCGUUUACGGCGUGGACUAC
Molecule: unclassified non-coding RNA, 369 nt
Filed under: uncultured bacterium
Lineage: Bacteria
Description: contains 16S-23S intergenic spacer region
Source: RNAcentral